This 489-nucleotide ribosomal RNA is filed under the name uncultured bacterium. RNAcentral's name for it is "partial 16S ribosomal RNA". It matches the Rfam family "Bacterial small subunit ribosomal RNA", at positions 28 to 507 of the family's 1533-position model. The record is from RNAcentral.
GAUGAACGCUAGCGGCAGGCUUAAUACAUGCAAGUCGAGGGGCAGCAGGACUGUAGCAAUACAGUUGCUGGCGACCGGCAAACGGGUGCGGAACACGUACGCAACCUACCCAAAACUGGGGGAUAGCCCGGGGAAACCCGGAUUAAUACCUCGUAACCUUUUUAAGUGGCAUCACUUGAUAAGUAUAGCUCCGGCGGUUUUGGAUGGGCGUGCGCCUGAUUAGGUAGUUGGUGCGGGUAACGGCCCACCAAGCCUGCGAUCAGUAACUGGUGUGAGAGCACGACCAGUCACACGGGCACUGAGACACGGGCCCGACUCCUACGGGAGGCAGCAGUAAGGAAUAGUGGUCAAUGGACGCAAGUCUGAACCAGCCAUGCCGCGUGAAGGAGGAAGGUCCUCUGGAUUGUAAACUUCUUUUAUGGGGGACGAAACCCGGAUAUUCUUAUCCGAUUGACGGUACCUCAGGAAUAAGCACCGGCUAACUCCGUG